UGAAAACAACCAAGUAGAGCCGUGU
Molecule: non-coding RNA, 25 nt
Filed under: Mus musculus (house mouse)
Lineage: Eukaryota; Metazoa; Chordata; Mammalia; Rodentia; Muridae
Source: RNAcentral